AGGGGAAGUGGGGAAUAGAAAUGGAGGAAAGAGAGGAAAAGCGGUGGAGGGGUGGAGAGGGGGGUGGAGAGAGGAGAAGAGGUGGAGGUAUUGAGAGAGGGGUGGAGAGAGGAGAAGAGGUGGAGGGAUUGAGAGAGGGGUGGAGAGAGGAGAAGAGGUGGAGGGAUUGAGAGAGGGGUGGAGAGAGGAGAAGAGGUGGAGGGAUUGAGAGAGGGGUGGAGAGAGGAGAAGAGGUGGAGGGGUGGAGAGAGGGGUGGAGAGAGGGAGGACAGAGAGGAGAAGAGGUGGAGGGGUGGAGAGAGGGGUGGAGAGAGGAGAAGAGGUGGAGGGAUUGAGAGAGGGGUGGAGAGAGGAGAAGAGGUGGAGGGGUGGAGAGAGGGGUGGAGAGAGGGAGGACAGAGAGGAGAAGAGGUGGGGGGGGGGAGAGAGGGGUGGAGAGAGGGAGGACAGAGAGGAGAAGAGGUGGGGGGGUGGAGAGAGGGAGGACAGAGAGGAGAAGAGGUGGGGGGGUGGAGAGAGGGGUGGAGAGAGGGAGGACAGAGAGGAGAAGAGGUGGAGGGGUGGAGAGAGGGGUGGAGAGAGGGAGGACAGAGAGGA
Long non-coding RNA from Oncorhynchus keta (chum salmon), 597 nucleotides. RefSeq lists it as uncharacterized. The transcript has 3 exons. The record is from RefSeq and is a predicted model, not a curated record. Lineage: Eukaryota; Metazoa; Chordata; Actinopteri; Salmoniformes; Salmonidae.